Molecule: ribosomal RNA, 253 nt
Filed under: uncultured bacterium
Lineage: Bacteria
Description: partial 16S ribosomal RNA
Rfam family: Bacterial small subunit ribosomal RNA
Source: RNAcentral
UACGUAGGGUGCAAGCGUUAAUCGGAAUUACUGGGCGUAAAGCGUGCGCAGGCGGCUUUGCAAGCCAGAUGUGAAAUCCCCGGGCUUAACCUGGGAACUGCAUUUGUGACUGCAUGGCUGGAGUGCGGCAGAGGGGGAUGGAAUUCCGCGUGUAGCAGUGAAAUGCGUAGAUAUGCGGAGGAACACCGAUGGCGAAGGCAGUCCCCUGGGCCUGCACUGACGCUCAUGCACGAAAGCGUGGGGAGCAAACAGG